AAGCAGUUAGGCUGGGAAAUAGGCAAAUCCGUUUCCCGUAAGGCUGAGCUGUGAUGGCGAGCGAAAUAUAGUAGCGAAGUUCCUGAUUCCACACUGCCAAGAAAAGCCUCUAGCGAGGUGAGAGGUGCCCGUACCGCAAACCGACACAGGUAGGAAAGGAGAGUAUCCUAAGGUGUUCGAGAGAAUUCUGGUUAAGGAACUAGGCAAAUUAGCCCCGUAACUUCGGGAGAAGGGGCGCCAAA
RNAcentral lists this ribosomal RNA (242 nucleotides) under Pseudo-nitzschia fraudulenta. Its description in RNAcentral is "partial Bacterial large subunit ribosomal RNA". It matches the Rfam family "Bacterial large subunit ribosomal RNA", at positions 1514 to 1755 of the family's 2925-position model. Lineage: Eukaryota; Bacillariophyta; Bacillariophyceae; Bacillariales; Bacillariaceae. The record is from RNAcentral.